UACGUAGGGGGCAAGCGUUGUCCGGAAUCAUUGGGCGUAAAGCGCGCGUAGGCGGCCCGGUAAGUCCGCUGUAAAAGUCCAGGGCUCAACCCUGGAAAGCCGGUGGAUACUGUCGGGCUAGAGUCCGGAAGAGGCGAGUGGAAUUCCUGGUGUAGCGGUGGAAUGCGCAGAUAUCAGGAGGAACACCUAUAGCGAAGGCAGCUUGCUGGGACGUUACUGACGCUAAGGCGCGAAAGCGUGGGGAGCGAACAGG
This 253-nucleotide ribosomal RNA is filed under the name uncultured bacterium. RNAcentral describes it as "partial 16S ribosomal RNA". It matches the Rfam family "Bacterial small subunit ribosomal RNA", at positions 524 to 776 of the family's 1533-position model. The record is from RNAcentral.